UGUGUGUGCAUGUAUAUUAUAUGAACACACGUGUGCAUGCAUGUACAGGCACGUGUGCACGUAUGUGUGUUUGGUGUGUCUAUAUAUGUACGUGUAUAUGGCCACACACAUGGAUACAGGUAUGUAUACACAUGUGCAUGCACACUUGCCCAGACACACAACUGCACACCUCCCUGCCCUGCACCCCGCCUUUGGGCUCUCCAUCAUUGCUGCUGGCUGAUAGGUCUUGAAAGGCCCAGGCUGGUGGGUAUGUCCUGCCUCUCAGGUGGGCAGGAGUGGGAACAGCCUAUCUGGCCUUCUCCAGGUUUCCUCUGUCAGCCUGGAGGAGGGCAAUAAUGAUGCAAUUUCUUACAAUAAUGAUACCUUACAUUGCAUAAUCGCUCGGGUCACUCAAAAUAUUGAAAACAGUAGCACAGAAAGGUUAAAGGGUUCCACAGCAACUCAGCAGCACAGCCAGCACCACGAAGUCGGCCACCGCCCCACACUUUAGUCAGUUGGGUGACCUGGCCAGCCCUGGGAAGACGCCUCAUUCAGCUGAAGCUCAUCCACGUCAGGGGGCUCCUCGGUGUCCAGGAGAUGCUGCCAGCUCCCAGCCCCAGGACGGGUGUGAGGCUGUGGCCCCCGGGGGAACUCCUCCUGCACGAAGCGUCUUGGCUCCUGCCCUGCUACACAGAACACGUCCCUCCCUCAGCCGGUCCCCAAUACUGAGCACCUUAGAGACAGCCACUCUUCGCAGACCUGGUUGCUUGUCUUGCACCAUGUGCAUAUCCUCCUGUGCAUGGAGGAGGAAACCAAGGCUUCCAGCCCCGGAGCUCGCAAACGCAGAGACCCCAGGCUUCCUGUGUGCUCCUGUGCACGGAGGAGGAAACCAAGGCUUCCAGCCCCGGAGCUCGCAAACGCAGAGACCCCAGGCUUCCUGUGUGCUCCUGUGCACGGAGGAGGAAACCAAGGCUUCCAGCCCCGGAGCUCGCAAACCCAGAGACCCCAGGCUCCCUGUGGGCCAGGACCACUGGCCUUUCCCUCCACUGCUUGGGGCGUCCUGCAGUACCGGGCUCAGGGAUGGAACCCGCACGCGGAGCCAGGACGAGCAGGCCACACGGAGGGAAUGCCGACCACGUCCCUGAAGCCACAGUGGUAAGAAGCUCCAUCUCCCACGGCAGAUUGCAGCCGUCAGCGUUGUUAGAUUCAUGCGGACCGGACGAUGCGUCUAAAGGAAAACGGACCCAGGCAGGAACACCAGCGGCCGCCCGAGUGUUGGCAGAAGCAGGCCUGUUGCUGAAUUGUGACGUUUGUAGAAAUCGCUGUUGUAGCCGCUGUUGGCUCCUCUCAAGCUCCUGACAGUGAUCCCAAGAUCUGCCGGGAAGCACCUUCCCCGGCGACUCCUCGGGGACACCGGCUCCAGCUGCAGCCUCAAGUGACCCCUUUGCCGGAGUCCAAGAAAAGAGAAGCUGCUUCCGUGGACUCUUCUGUCCCAGAUGAAGCUGCAGUGGCAGGAAGUGGUAGUUGGCUGCUCCCAGGGUUUAUUUGGUUGGGACAAGAGGUCCCAAAGCUGUCCUUGGGAAGGAGCUUAGGCAG
Molecule: long non-coding RNA, 1575 nt
Organism: Gorilla gorilla gorilla (western lowland gorilla)
Lineage: Eukaryota; Metazoa; Chordata; Mammalia; Primates; Hominidae
Exons: 3
Source: RefSeq, a predicted model, not a curated record